This is a long non-coding RNA of Venturia canescens, 4225 nucleotides long. RefSeq lists it as uncharacterized. The transcript is spliced from 2 exons. Lineage: Eukaryota; Metazoa; Arthropoda; Insecta; Hymenoptera; Ichneumonidae. The record is from RefSeq and is a predicted model, not a curated record.
GCUCUCUCGGCCUGGAGCUCGAGAGGGCGACGAGUUUCCGGUGGAACGGUGACUGUCGUCCUCGCUUGUGGUUGCAGCCCGAUAAAUUCGUUUAUUCCCAGAGCAACCACAUGCGCACACACGGAGACGCGUCUGCACAAACUACGUGCGUAAUUAUUCGGAAAAGUCAACGGCGACCUAGUGACACGUCGGGCAACUCUCGCGGGCAACAUCGAGAAUUUUUCUGUUCGAUUUCAUGGCUCUCCGAUCUAAAAAUCUUGAGGUAUUCCUUUCGCAUGAGCGUAUUUUUUGGUGGCGCAAACUAAGGCACUCGAAAUUUGGACCGAUUGCUAACCUCUGAGAAGUCGCGGUUACCAUUUUCCAACUUCGAUCGUUAAUAUCUCUUUUAAGCACUCGGUGACGCUUUAUUUUUAUCGUCGCUGUGGUCCUUCAUUUCAUUUCUAUCCGCGAGACAGUUUGAACGAGGAAUUUAGAAUUAUUUGGUACAUGAAUUAUUGAAUAGAAAUGUGGUGACGACGGAAUCUCCGUAAGCUCGCGUAUGAAUUUUACGAUUUUUCAAGUUUUCAUUCUUCAUUAAAUGUUCGCUAACCCGACCUGAAAUUUGGCCAAUCUAUUCGCAUGCACUUUUGCUUUACUGCUGUUUAAAAUCAGUUAUUUGUAGAAUAUUCGGAUUCGUGAAAGGAAUACCUUAAAUAUUGAACGAGCGCUGCUCGCACCCCUUGAGUCGCAGAGUCUUUUAUUCUGCCAGAUUAUUCAGCAGGAAUAACACGCAAUUGUGGUGUCUCGAGUGAAUUUUUAUGAAUUCUGACAGCCCUCGGAGAAGUUUUCAUCAUUCCGAAGGAACCUCGAGGAUAAUGGUCUUGGAUGAAAGUUUUAAACAUGCAUUUAUGCAUUAUACGCGUAUAUUUUCGUUGUGUAUAUUCGGAGGGACAUUGACGACGCGAGAGAGACUGCUGUAGCAACGUUUUUUCUUUUCUUCUGCUUUGUUUUUUAUUUUACUUUCGCCCAGAGGCCGAAAAUUCAUUUACCCCGCGCUUAUACAUUCAACCACUUGUCCUUUAUACGAAAAGUUUUUCCGUUGCCACACUUUCGAGAGAAAAAAUGCCUCUCCUUUCCCAUUUUCAAGCUUCGGUGAAUGCGUGUGUACUCAAAUAUUCAUUACUUUUGUACCUCGCAAAUCACCAAGUACAUUGACACUUUUCUUCUCGACGUGCUAUAUGUAUUGUUUUCUCAAUGUUAAAAGUAUUCCUCCUCGCUCUCUUAGCUAUUCACUCCCUCACUCUCGACCGGAACGCGUAUGGAAACGACGCUUGAAUUAUUCGCUUUGUCGAGUCAUCAUUAGCCCUUCUCCCCCCUCCCACUUGUGGCGAUUCGAAUGUUUCCUUGAGACCGUUUUAAACGACUUUCCACUUGCCUUCGAGCACGGGCCGUAUUUUCAUAGUGUAAUCUCCAGCUUUUGUACGAAAAAUUUCACAUUUUCUAUAAAGUUUCGAAUUUUUAUGAUAAAUUUCGUAUUUUUGUGCAGAAUUUUGCAUUCUCAGGCAAACAAGAAUGAUAAAAAUCCUGCACAUUCACGACCCGAAGCUUCCACUCUUUCGAAACUCAGUGCAAACAGAAAAACAAUCAAAGUCGGAGGAUUAUUCAUUCGCGAUGACGAACAGUGGGGGAAAAAAAAAAUAGAAAAUAUUCAAAUGACGUUGAGCCAGGAUCGAAGGUGUUAAAAGGAUAAUUGAUUUGGACACCGUUCACGAGGCGUGUCGAAGCUUCGAGUACGGCAAACACGACCGAUUGACAGCUUGACGAAUGAACUACGAGUCCGGGAGAGCCGCAUCGCAAUACAAAAAACAUGACUAAUCCACGACAAAUACUUGCUUGAGUGGAAUUAGAAUUCGCUGAGAAAAAUCCUUCAACUAAAUUCGAUGGCACUUCGUCCAUGUUUUCUGAGCAAAUUUUCUCACAGAUUUUCAGUUUUCCGUUUCAUUUUGCAGUCUCUCAGUUUAGUGUGAACUACGGCGGAGGAGCCAAACAUUCGGAUGUUGGUUCUCGAAGAUAUCUGUCAAAAAAAUAACACCACGAAGAAAAAAGGAUGAAAACGACGAUGAUUUUUCCGCGGUAUUUUCCGUAAACACGUAAAUAGGGCGCGAUGAAAAUAAAUCGACUCACAAAUUAUCGAUGUCGAGUGAUAAAAACAUCGAUAAAUAUGCUGUCGAUAAAAAGACUCGGUUCGCGGAACAAAUUUGUGAAAAAUUCGAGGAAAAAUGUGUCAGAAAAAGAUGACAAUUUGGAUCGUUUGUGGAAAAGUUAAAAACACGGUGUGCACUCGCGAGAAAAUAAAUUCGCUGAUUCGAUCAAUUUUUGUGUUCGUUGGAUCCAGGUAAUCGUGGGGAACACACAAAGUUUGUUGAUUCAACAAAACUUUCGUGGAUCCGUCGUCGUUUUAGUCGCAGUGAAAAUGAUUCGUGUGAGCGAGCAAAUAUGCAGCGUGAGCCAACCAAAUAUUUGUUUGGUUUAACGACUUUCGGUUUGUCCGUCGCGCGGCGAUGAGUUGAUCCAACGAAACAUUGUCCAAGGAGCGAAUUCCUUUUCCACGAAGCGCGAGAUAGCUCGACAGCGAAAUAUCCAAGUUCCGUAAUAAUGGUCGCAUUGGCGAGGAGAGCCCCAAAGAACAGAGAAUCAAAGCGAUCGAAGGCAGGUGAUGAGACAAUAAAGAUUCUGACCUCGAUGGAAAAAUGCGAAACGCGGCAGGGAAUGACUUCUGAUGACGGUAACAACGCGGCGUUCCUCCAUCACGCUUUUUUAUCCCGCGUUCGAGUAUUACGACGGAGCAAGUUUAUUUAUUCGGUGAGCAUAAAAAAGAGAAAGAACGAAGACCGAAUGAGGGGAGAAAAAGAAGGCGGCGGCGUGGCAGCGAAGCGUAUCCUCGCGCGACGCGAAAUAAAUUCGAACUAAUGAAUCCGGCGCACUCGUUUCCGUCGCGUCAAAGAGUGCCGUUUUUUCUUAUCUCGAUGAAUUACUCACUCGCCUUUAAUUUAUUAUAGACGUAUAUAAUUUCGAUUGCUCAGCACGUACGAGCCGCGAGGACGUCGAUGCGCGCGUACAUAAAAAAAAAACGCGGAUAGUUGCUCGACUUUUUCGCUCCCGGGGCCGCGUUAAUACGCAAAUAUUUUUAUCCCCCCGCCACGUUCUCCCGUAUAAGCGAAGACGCGGACGCGUCUCUCGCGCCGAGGCGCUUUCGAAGAGGGCGUCGUGCGAGGUGAGAAACAAGACGCGAAGAGAUCUCCGCGCGAACUGGGUGGACGCGACGCGGUUAUAAAUAUUAUUAAAUAACGCGAUCUCCCGUGGAGUUUCUUCAGGGUGCGGAGAGUCUUGGCGCUACGACAACCACACGACCAACACAACGACUACUUUUCUCCUCCGAGUCCUUAACACUCGCGCCAAAAUACCUGAUCAUUUAAAUCACCGGAUUCUUGGGAUGAUUCAAACGUCUCGUUGGACAAUAUUUGGAAGAAGCUCCGAACCCUUGGAAUUAAAUUCGCAUGAUAAUAUUUGAUUUAUUUCCUUAAGGAUGUACGUGUGCGUCGUACUAGUCACUUGACAGUCUUUCCAUAUUUGUCAAAAAGCCCGAUCUUAAUUUUUUAAUCGCAAAUAAUGUUGAGUUCAUUCCAGAGCAUAUUUCAUUCCGAGACUUUCACAUUUUUCGAUAGAACAGUGCGAAUAAACAGCGUUUGACAAGAUGGCCGGUUGACCCCUUUUUUUAACGUGCCAUUGAAUUCCGGGCGAUUCAAUUCAUAUAAGUAAUGUUUUCAAUCUUCGUCAUCUAAUUUAGAAAUUUAUUUCAAAUUUUUUUUUAAAUUAUUGUAUUUUUUUAUUUUGUUUUUUAUUUAAUUAAUAUUAAUAUAAUGAAAUAGUAUUUAUACAAUAAAUAAUAAUUAAAUAUUCAAUUAAAAUGAUUUAGAAAUUUAGAAAUCAAAUUUUGAGUUGAAGGUGGUUGAAGGGAGCAGUAAGUCAUUGUGGCCAUAAGCGACAUGUUAAUUUCUGUACUUUUCGACUGUUAAUAUUCCAAGCAAACAUUUGAAAGGGGUCUUGAAAUUUCGCAAUCAUAGAAAAUAAAUUUUGGAUUGUAAGAGAUAAAAAAAUUAGAGUGCUAUGUAAAAACAGCUCUCGGGCCUUAAAAUGCAUUCUUAAAAUAAAGAUUUUUUCAGCAAGCAUAAUGCUGAGCUUCGAA